GGGGUUCUAGCUCAAAUGGUAGAGCGCUCGCUUUGCAUGCGAGAGGCACAGGGAUCGAUACCCUGGAUCUCCA
Transfer RNA from Basidiobolus meristosporus CBS 931.73, 73 nucleotides. It matches the Rfam family "tRNA". From Rfam's summary of the family: Transfer RNA (tRNA) molecules are approximately 80 nucleotides in length. Their secondary structure includes four short double-helical elements and three loops (D, anti-codon, and T loops). The record is from Rfam. Lineage: Eukaryota; Fungi; Basidiobolomycota; Basidiobolomycetes; Basidiobolales; Basidiobolaceae.